AGAGUUUGAUCCUGGCUCAGAACGAACGCUGGCGGCGUGGAUAAGACAUGCAAGUCGAACGGGAGAAUUGCUAGCUUGCUAAUAAUUCUCUAGUGGCGCACGGGUGAGUAACACGUGAGUAACCUGCCUCUUAGUGGGGGAUAGCCCUGGGAAACCGGGAUUAAUACCGCAUACGAUUGAAAGAUCAAAGCAGCAAUGCGCUAGGAGAUGGGCUCGCGGCCUAUUAGUUAGUUGGUGAGGUAACGGCUCACCAAGGCGAUGACGGGUAGCCGGUCUGAGAGGAUGUCCGGCCACACUGGAACUGAGACACGGUCCAGACACCUACGGGUGGCAGCAGUCGAGAAUCAUUCACAAUGGGGGCAACCCUGAUGGUGCGACGCCGCGUGGGGGAAUGAAGGUCUUCGGAUUGUAAACCCCUGUCAUGUGGGAGCAAAUUAAAAAGAUAGUACCACAAGAGGAAGAGACGGCUAACUCUGUGCCAGCAGCCGCGGUAAUACAGAGGUCUCAAGCGUUGUUCGGAAUCACUGGGCGUAAAGCGUGCGUAGGCUGUUUCGUAAGUCGUGUGUGAAAGGCAGGGGCUCAACCCCUGGAUUGCACAUGAUACUGCGAGACUAGAGUAAUGGAGGGGGAACCGGAAUUCCCGGUGUAGCGGUGGAAUGCGUAGAUAUCGGGAGGAACACCAGUGGCGAAGGCGGCCUACUGGGCACCAACUGACGCUGAGGCUCGAAAGUGUGGGGAGCAAACAGGAUUAGAUACCCUGGUAGUCCACGCCGUAAACGAUGAUUACUAGGUGUUGGUGGGUAUGACCCAUCGGUGCCGCAGCAAACGCAAUAAGUAAUCCACCUGGGGAGUACGUUCGCAAGAAUGAAACUCAAAGGAAUUGACGGGGGCCCGCACAAGCAGUGGAGUAUGUGGUUUAAUUCGACGCAACGCGAAGAACCUUACCAGGUCUUGACAUCCAACUAACGAAGCAGAGAUGCAUUAGGUGCCCUUCGGGGAAAGUUGAGACAGGUGGUGCAUGGUUGUCGUCAGCUCGUGUCGUGAGAUGUUGGGUUAAGUCCCGCAACGAGCGCAACCCUUGUGAUUAGUUGCUACGCAAGAGCACUCUAAUCAGACUGCCGUUGACAAAACGGAGGAAGGUGGGGACGACGUCAAAUCAUCAUGCCCUUUAUGACCUGGGCUACACACGUACUACAAUGGUCGUUAACAGAGGGAAGCAAUACCGCGAGGUGGAGCAAAACCCUAAAAACGGUCUCAGUUCAGAUUGUAGGCUGCAACUCGCCUACAUGAAGUUGGAAUUGCUAGUAAUCGCGGAUCAGCAUGCCGCGGUGAAUACGUUCCCGGGCCUUGCACACACCGCCCGUCA
Molecule: ribosomal RNA, 1366 nt
Filed under: uncultured bacterium
Lineage: Bacteria
Description: bacterial SSU rRNA
Rfam family: Bacterial small subunit ribosomal RNA
Source: RNAcentral